GUGCUCGAGUGGCGAACGGGUGAGUAACACGUGAGUAACCUGCCCUUGACUUUGGGGUAACUUCAGGAAACUGGGGCUAAUACCGGAUAGGAGCUCCUGCCGCAUGGUGGGGGUUGGAAAGUUUCGGCGGUUGGGGAUGGACUCGCGGCUUAUCAGCUUGUUGGUGGGGUAGUGGCUUACCAAGGCUUUGACGGGUAGCCGGCCUGAGAGGGUGACCGGCCACAUUGGGACUGAGAUACGGCCCAG
RNAcentral lists this ribosomal RNA (246 nucleotides) under uncultured Actinomycetales bacterium. Its description in RNAcentral is "partial 16S ribosomal RNA". It matches the Rfam family "Bacterial small subunit ribosomal RNA", at positions 87 to 334 of the family's 1533-position model. The record is from RNAcentral. Lineage: Bacteria; Bacillati; Actinomycetota; Actinomycetes; Actinomycetales.